CCUACGGGGGGCAGCAGUGGGGAAUAUUGGGCAAUGGGCGCAAGCCUGACCCAGCAACGCCGCGUGAAGGAAGAAGGCUCUCGGGUUGUAAACUUCUUUUACCAGGGACGAAGCAGGUGACGGUACCUGAUGAAUAAGCCACGGCUAACUACUUGCCAGCAGCCGCGGCAAUACGUAGGUGGCAAGCGUAAUCCGGAUUUACGGGUUGGAAAGGGCGUGUAGGCGGGAAAGCAAGUCAGAUGUGAAAACCAGGGGCUCAACCUGUGGCCUGCAUUUGAAACUGUUUUUCUUGAGUACUGGAGAGGCAGACGGAAUUCCUAGGGUAGCGGUGAAAUGCGUAGAUAUUAGGAGGAACACCAGUGGCGAAGGCGGUCUGCUGGACAGCAACUGACGCUGAGGCGCGAAAGCGUGGGGAGCAAACAGGAUUAGAUACCCCAGUAGUC
Molecule: ribosomal RNA, 443 nt
Filed under: uncultured bacterium
Lineage: Bacteria
Description: partial 16S ribosomal RNA
Rfam family: Bacterial small subunit ribosomal RNA
Source: RNAcentral